This 756-nucleotide long non-coding RNA is filed under the name Zonotrichia albicollis (white-throated sparrow). RNAcentral describes it as "lncRNA (ENSZALG00000009437.1)". The record is from RNAcentral. Lineage: Eukaryota; Metazoa; Chordata; Aves; Passeriformes; Passerellidae.
CUCUCUUGUCCUCAAUGGUGUAAGAAUUAAGUAUUUACAGGGUGGAAAUAUAGAUUUUAGGAUUUUGGUACAGGAGGGUUGAGAGACAAGAUGGAGGGAUCAGGGCGUGUCUUGUCCUUCUUCUUGUCCUCCAUUUUCUGUGGUGAUGUUGGCACUUUGGGAUUGGUUUGUCUUGCAUGUGCACUUGGCAUUAUGGGUGAAAGAUAUUGGGAAAGAAAGGUAAACAUAUGUACGUAGUUUUUAGUAUAAAAAUAGAGUACCACCCAGUGGGAGGUGAGAGUGCCCUUGGCUGCCUUGCUGGACAGACCUCUGUCGGGUCAAAAAAAAUUUUCAGGAUAAGGAAAAAUAAGCAACAUCAAGAACGUUAAAUCUGAAGACUCCCGGCUUGUCCUUCGAAGCGUGGGCAGUUCAAAGGCGACUCUACAUCAGACUGUACAGAGAAGAACAGCCGAAGCAGUCGAUCGUUUUUAAAGAAUCUGUGGUUGUAAACCCACCCUCAGGACGGGUAUCUAAACUCAAGCAUAACCACCAGACUAAAGAAGAAGAAUACAGGAAAGCCUUGCCAGAAUCAAGGAGCAUGUCACAAAAUAUAAGUAACCAGCCUUUGCAGCUUAAACCAGAGCUGCCAAAGGCAAGUGGCAUGCAUGCUUGGCCUUUUCCAAGGAGUCCUGCAACUACCGAUGAGCGCAGGUAAGGGGCAGCUCUGAGUGAGCCAGCACCAUCCUGCUGGAAAUGGAGUCCAAAGUCUUUUAUGAG